Molecule: long non-coding RNA, 2097 nt
Organism: Medicago truncatula (barrel medic)
Lineage: Eukaryota; Viridiplantae; Streptophyta; Magnoliopsida; Fabales; Fabaceae
Exons: 2
Source: RefSeq, a predicted model, not a curated record
AUUAUUUUGAUCAAACAAGUGUCUUCUCUUCCACUUCCACUCUCUAUAAUCACACACAUGUAUUGCCUUUAAAUGGCAUUUCACUACUAUAUAUUAAUUCUUAUAAUCUUCUUUCUUUUGCCUUUGAAUUAUAAACACAAAUAACAAUUCACACGAAAUUAAGGAAUAAGUCUUGAAGGAUCUUGAAGGGACUUAUUAUAGAAGGUUGUGAGAACAAGAUUAAGAUUCAUCAUGCUAAGGGGUAAUUGGAUGCACCGUGAAUUCAUAAACUUGGUUACAAGAUAUAUGUGAUUAUAUUCUUGAAGUGUCAAUAAUCCUAAUCUUAAGGUUUGAUCCUUUCUCUUGACUUACAUAUUAUAUGAUAAUUACUUCGGUUAUUUUAUUGCUUGAAAAUAUUGUAGUCUUUGAAAAUAUUAGAAAAUUGAAAGGAAAUAGGUAAAAUGAAAAGAAAACAAUCUAGAACCAAUGAAACAAGACCCUCCAAAACUCUUAAAACUAGUAACCUCAUGGAGGGGAUAAAAAAUGAAUCUAUAGAAACUUCAACAAAAUCAAAUGAUAUCAACAAAAUUUUACAAUCAUUUGAACAAUUAAAAAUAGUUGAAAAGGAAAAUAAAAACAUACAAAAAUUAGAACCAGCAGAAACAAGUGAUGACAAUGAAGUAACAUUAGGUUAUACUACUUCAGAAGAAUUAGAUAAUGAAGAAGUAAUACUAGGUUACACUACUUCAGAAGAAUCAUACAUUAAUGAAGAGGAAGCAAAAUAUUGUAUUUCGUCGGAUGAAUUCGACCAUUUAGAACGUGAAGAAUCAAAUUAUGAUCAAAUAUUUAUAGAAAAAUGAGAAACAAACAUUGAUGAAGAAGAAAUAUAUUGUUGUAUUUCGUCAGAUGAAUACAACGAUUUAGACCGUGAAGAAUCAAAUUAUGAUCAAAUAUUUAUAGAAAAAGGAGAAACAAACAUUGAUGAAGAAGAAAUAUAUUGUUGUAUUUCGUCAGAUGAAUACAACGAUUUAGACCGUGAAGAAUCAAAUUAUGAUCAAAUAUUUAUAGAAAAAGGAGAAACAAACAUUGAUGAAGAAGAAAUAUAUUGUUGUAUUUCGUCAGAUGAAUACAACGAUUUAGACCGUGAAGAAUCAAAUUAUGAUCAAAUAUUUAUAGAAGAAGACUCAAAUUAUGAUCAAAUAUUUAUAGAAAAAGGAGAAACAAGUAAUUCUAAACGCAAAAGAAAAUGGAAAGAUUAUUGCGGUAAUUUUGAUAACUCAAGGGUUGUAUAUGAGAAUGAAAGUGAUGAAAUAAGGAACAAUAAGAAAUAUGCAACCUCUCAAAAGAAAAAAAGGAUAUGCAAGAAAAACAAUUAAAACAAGUGUGUUUAGUUCAAUGUUUGUGGUCUUGUACCAUUUUUCUUUCCUAGCUUUUACAUUAUUUUUAUUCUUUUUUGUUACAUAUAGUGUUAAUCUAAUUUUUCUUUUAGUUAUUUCAGCGUCAGCUGAGUAUUAUGACUACAUCUUCUUAGCUUGGGUUUUUAAGUUUUUUUAAUUAAGUUUUUAAUUAAAAAAUUUCAUAUUCUUUUUGGUCUUUUGUUAUCAGUAUAUAAAGGUUGUCUAUUUGGUUGGAGUUAGUUAAAAGAUAAUCCGAGUUCGAGUAAGUUGGCCGCUCAACAUGCAAUCCCACUAUCUUGGAAUGUCCUUUAGCUAACUCUAACAAAGUAGAGAACCUUUAUAAGUUGAUAUUUGUUCACAAAAUUUCCUCGUAUUUUCCGUGUAGAAAUUGCAGCAUACGGUGAUCAUUUUCGUUGGUCCAUUGUGAUUCCCUGCAUUUUCCAAAUUACUAGACGUAUCUUAAGAGAGAAGUUAUUCUAUGCCUUCACUCUUUUAUUGUGGUUUCAUUCACCAUAGUAUGGGUUAGUUUGUCUGAGUGAACAUAAUUCCAAUUUUUGAAUGUUUGCAUAACAAGCCAAUAUCUAGAAAAAUAAUAUGUUCCCAUACAAGUUAGGGUCGAGGGAUGCAGUUUCCUUGGAGUACGGUUUUGUUUUUAAUUUGGUUUGAGUGUACCAAGUACCAUGGUAUACUUUUGCUAUUGUGUUAUUGCAUUAAAAAAAAA